UUUUUCAUAUGUAUAACCCCACGCUCCUAUGAAUUAAGAGAGAGAGAAACGGAGAGAGAGAAAUAAAGAGGGAAAGAGAUGUUCGCGAUCCGACCCGAACCUUCGCGAUCGGACCCGAAUUUAUCUCCAUUUUCCAGCCACCUUACCGACCAAGGAAGGUACCAAUAGAAAGCUUGAGAACUGGCCGUCAUUUCCAUUCCGUCAUUGCCGUCGAUUAUUGGCCGGAAAGCCGUUUAUUGAAGCCGCAAAAUUUGGCGGUGAAGCCGCAUUGUUUCGCCGCUGUUCCGCUAGUUUUGGGUGAGGCGACCAGUUGGAUUUUGUUCCCCACAAUCCCCUCUGUCCUUUCCGACCAUCCACUGAGCCGGGAACUGCCCUGUCCCGGCCGGUCAGCCGUUGGAAAGUUCAUGGCUUUGGGAGCUCGAUCAGCCACCGUCGCCGCGCGUCGAUCGUCACCGCCGCCACCAUCGGACUCAGCGUGGUUGGAACUCUCAGGCUAGAGCUUCCCGACGGCCUUUGGUUGACUUUCGGUCAUCGUUGACCAGUAAGGCCAUUUCGGUAAUUUCGUAUCCGAGGGCAAUUUUAUAGUUUCACACUUUGCGGGUAUUUUAGUAAUUGUAUAAAUCAAGAAUAGGCUGGUAAUUUACGAUUUUGAGAUUAACUUGGUAAAUUAUGAUUUUGGGGGUAUUCUAAUAAUGUUAGAAUUUGAGGGUAUUUUGGUAAUUUUGUUAAAUUUGAAGGCGAUUUUAUAAUUUUUGGAUUUGUGCAUAUUUUGGUAGUUUCUGAAUUGGAGAAUAAUUAGUAAUUUAUGAAAUUGAGAAUGAUUUGGUAGUUUAUAAUUUUGGAAUUUUUAGAUUAUUUAUGUGAUUUAUGAGUUUGAGGGCAUUUCGAUGAAGGUUGGGUUAUUUGAACUCAACAAACGCCUCACUAAAUCUAUUUUUGAGAUUAAUCUUUUAUGAUUAAAAUACUCUUAAAUUAAAUUACAAUUAUGGAUAUUAAAAUAUAAUAAAAAAACAGAAUUUUAAUUUUUUCAGCCCAUUUAUACAUCAACAUAAUUUUGUUAAAUCAUAAUCUUAUUUUCAUUAAAUCCUAAUUAACUAGAGGCAUGAAUUACGAGUGGCAAUCUUUUACUUUCAAUUAUCUUCCUACGGUUUGAUGCGCAUUCAAAUGGAGCUCAUCAUCGAUCAUUGAGUCAUGUGCUCUGAUUAUAAUAUUAAUCCUUAAAUUUUCUGAAAACUUUAAUUAUCAUUAAUCAAAAGCAAAUUGUAUUUUAAUUAACGGGUUAAAUUUCUUUUCUUUUCAAUUUGGCCAUUUAGUGGAGCCGAAUUAAGCUAAGCCGCAUCACCAUUCACCAAUGGUAGCUCAGCCUCUCCGCUAACAAUAGGCAUGGCUGAUUCUCAAUUAUCUGAUUAUCAUCACAAGCUCAAGUAGCACCUACGCUAACAAAUUCAUUUUGAUUUAAUUACCAUCUCCAUCGGUGUUAAAAAAAAUAAAUGAUUUCAAUGAAGAUUUAUAAAUGAAGUUAAUGGAUUUAGCGAGUUAAAAUAUUAUUAUUAUAAAAAUUGAGUUUAGUGAGUGUAUAUUAAGUAUUUAUCCGUACUAAUAUUUUAGCAUCCUAAUGAUUUCAAUUUAUCCAAUAAAUAUACAAUUGAAUCAUCUUAUAAAAUAAGUAUCUAAUCCUACUUUGAAGUAUUAAAAAAAGAAAAAAAAAGUUGAAUUGAAGACAUAUUUGAAAAUAAAAUAAAUUUUAUUAUUUAAUAAAAUUAUAAAAAUGCAAGGGGUAUAUCCAAAAGUUUCCGGGGUCUAGCCCAGGCUUGCUGUCUUAAGCAAAAAUUCGAAUCAAAUCAAAAUUAAAUUCUUUUUCUCCUCUCAUUUUUUAGAUGGGUUUCUUUGAUAGCCAAUCGAGAUCAAAAAAAGAAAUGGCAAAGGGAGAAUGAAUACAAGUAAAAAAAAAAAAAAAGAAGAAUAAGAAUAAUAAUUUAAGUGACUAGAUUUUUUCUUUCCUUGAAAUAUUGUCAUGUCGAUAAUUUUCUCUGCUAUAAUUUAUUAAUAAAAUUUAAUCGACAUAUGCGUGAAGAAGAAGUGCAAUUUUUCAUGAGAGAUUGAAAAGUGACUAACAUGAAGUUAACUUUUUUCUUCAGUUAGUAAUUUCAGUUAGUUUUAAAAACGUUAUGUUUUUUACAUCUAAAUAAAAUAUAGAUAGGAGGACAGGGGUAGAAACUCUUACAUCAAGUGAGAAUAAGUUUUUAUGUACUAUAUAUAUAUAUAUAAGAGGAGAUUAUGGUGAUAGGUAAGAUUAAAUUUAUUAACAAAAAUUUAAAAACAUCUUAUUAAUAUAAAAUUAUAAAAAAAUAAAUAAAUACUCACCUUAGAAUUUCUUAAAUACCAUGUUUCAAAAUCUCUUAUAAAGUUUAGGAAAAAAAAAUUGAAGUUGAAAAUUUACAAAUCAUUUUCCUAAUUUGAGAAGAUAUAUAAGUUUAGUGAAACUUAAUAAGUCUUUUCCUUCUUCCUUUUCCUUAACUAGUCAGGCUUUCAUUUUCCUUGACUAGUUAGGAUAUACAUCCUUAUAUAAAGAUGCUUACAUUGAGCUCCCAAAUCCCAACUUCGCAAUAGAGUUAAUAAAUUAGAAGGUAUCGAGUUCUUGGUUUUCAGUUUUUUCUUGAAUCGUCGAUCAAAAAACUUGAUUAGCUAUGAAGCAGAAGGCAAUUGACUCCGAAGAAGGAUGGGACUAUUUGGAUCGGGGAAUCACAAAAUUGAAGAGGAUUUUCGAAGGAUUGCCGGAGCCAACGUUUAAUUUGGAGGAUUACAUGAUGCUUUACACAACCGUAUACAAUAUUUAUUCUGAGUCGACUUAUCCUCUUGACAAAAAUAGCAAACAGUUGUAUAACAAUUACAAGCAAAUACUUGAAGAUUAUAUGCCAUCAAAGGUAUUGCCAUCUUUGAGAGAGAAGCACGAUGAGUAUGAUUUGUUGAAGGAGCUUUUGAAAAGCUGGGCUAAUCAUAAAUUUUUGGUUAAAUGGCUUUCACUCGUCUUCCUUCCUCUUCAAGUUGAAUUCGCUUAUAUUACUCGAAAGAAACUUCCUAAACUUAAUGCGUUUGGACUUUCUUGCUUCCGGGAUCUGGUGUUUGAUGCUAUAAAGGACAAAGUCAAGGAUGCUGUAAUUGCUUUAAUCGAUAGAGAACGCGAGGGAGAAGAGAUUGACAGAACGUUGGUGAAGAAUGUAUUGAAUUUAUUCGUUGAGAUUGACGAGGGGAAGAUGCAUUGUUACGAAAAGGAUUUUGAAGAACAUAUGCUUCAGGAUACGGGGGCUUAUUAUUCUCGCAAGGCAUCAAAUUGGAUUCUUCAGGAUUCGAGUGAAGAUUACAUGCUCAAGGUUGGUGAAUGCUUGAAGAAAGAAAGAGGGAGAGCGUCUCAUUACCUGCAACCAAGCAGCGAGCGGAAAUUGACGGACAUACUAGAACAUGAGUUGUUGGUGGUGCGUGCAAGUCAGCUUCUUGAAGAAGGAGAAUUUGGAUGCAGACAAUUGCCUAGAGGAGAUAAGGUGGAUGAUCAUUCGAUUAUCUGCUGUGACAGCGAGAAAUCGAGGAAUGAAUUAGGCAUUGGAGAAACAUUGGAGUAGGUUCUUAGAUUGUGAUGCACACCAAGAAACCCUAAAGUUCCUAGUCAAUUUCAAGUCUAUUAAUUUUAUAAUUUCUAUUCCAUUGGAUUUUUUUUUUUUCCUUGAGCACUAAUUAAUUGGCAUUGCUGCCUUAGAUAUCGUGAUGAGUAAGCAUGCCGAUGAAUAUGUUUUAUACAUUAAUUAAAAAUUUUAGACAACCCCAUAGAUAAAGAUAGACCUAAGAACUAAUUAUGAACAAAAUAGUAAUGGGUAUAAAUUGCCUUCUCAAUAAUUAUUCGUUGCAUUGUGGUUCAUACGAAAGAAUAUGAAUAAGUUAUCAUUAUUUGUUCUUCUUUUCCUUUCUAAUUUUUUUUUUAGCGACUUCUUCAAUCCUUUCUCUCCCUAUCCCCAAUUAUUUUGAGAUUUCUCUUCACCAUUCGUUAAUUUUCCUUUUCAAUAAAUUUUGAAUGUAUUUCAUGAAUCCAAUUUGGUAAGCCAAUGUGUAUAACAAAAUCUCUCACCCCACCAACCAACCAUUUUUCUUAUUUUUCUUUCUUCAUAUAAAGUUCUUGUCUAAGAAUAGAGAAUUCACUUCCAGAUCACAAGUAUAUGGGCUUGGAAGUUGUUUUCCAGCUAAAACUUUUGGGCCAACAAUCAAGGCCUAUCAAGCAAACAACUUUUGUCCUCCUGCACUUACCUCGUUUCGUUGAUAAAGAAAAUCCCUUAAGUUGAUGAAUUUGUGCUUCGUAAUCCUAAUUGUUUGAAUUCCGUCAAGCAAUGCAACAGAACACAAAAUGUCCUUUUCACCCUUAGGAUUUAAUAUAAUACAUAUUUCAUCCCUAUAUUUUAAAUAAUAGUGUAAAGUAUUCUUUCAUUAAUUUGCCAUUAGUUUAUUAUAUUUUUUUUGCAAGCUCCAUUAGCAUACUUGGUAGUUUGCAUACAAUUUUUGACAAUUUAAUUUUUUAAAAUUAAAAAUUAAUAUAAUUUUUUUAUAUUUAGGGCUAAAUUAGUAAUUUAAUUAUUUUCUUUUUAUUAAUGUCCAAGUAAAAAAAUAAUUAUAAAUGGGCAAUAUUGUUAAAGUAAGACAAAAGAAAUAAAAAGUAACAAUAUGAAUAUCAAUACUUUAACGGCAGAGAUUUAAAAAAAUACAAGGACUAAAUAAAUAUUAAUCUUAAAAUAUAGAGACUAAAUGAUCUUUUAUCCUUUACACAACCGUAUACAAUAUUUGUUCCCAGCCGGAUCGUCUUCUUGAUGAAGAUCCCAAACAGCUGUAUGACAAGUAAAAGCAAGUACUUGAAGAUUAUAUGCCAUGAAAGGCAUUGCCAUCUUUGAGAGAGAAGCACGAUGAGUAUCAUUUGUUGAGGGAGCUUUUGAAAAGCUGGGCUAAUAAUGAAAUUUUGGUUAAAUGGCUUUCACGCGUCUUCCUUCCUCUUCAGGUAGGUUAUAUUCCUCGAAGGAAACUUCCUAAACUUAAUGCGAUUUUAAAGGAAAUAAAUGAUGAAAUUAUGAAAAUAUUGUUAAUUGUUAUUAUAUCAUUGAGUAAUAAUAAGAAUCUUAAUAUUAAAGUUUUAAUUUGCGUUCUAAAGUUCAUUUUAAAUUAGUUUAGGAGGUUUAAAAGUGAUUUUAAAAAUUUAAAAAUUAAUUUUAAUAUUUCAUAAAAAAAUUAAAAUUAUUUUUUAUCAAAAUCAGUCCAUAUGAUUUUAAAUUUAAAUUUAAAUUUAGAGAAUUAAUUUUAUAUUUUAAUACAAUUUUAAUUUUAUCCUCUACCAUUAUACUUUGAGUAAUGAUACAACCACAAACUCUUGUACAAAUUUAUUUUAUACAAACUGAUGUGGCAUGAUAAGAUUGAUUGAAUUAAAAAUCACUUGGCCCACAUGAUUUGUUUUUAUUAUUUUAUAUUUUCAUUCAACCAAUGAAUUAAUGACACGUCAGUUUAUACAAAAUAAAUUUAUAUAAAAAUUUAUAGCUGUAUCAUUACUCUUAUACUUUAGUUAAAAUAAUGUGUUUCGUAUUGCACCCAAUGACAAUGUCAUUAUUGUUGACAUACUCUUUUUUUUUUAAAUAGACCAAACCAUUUUUUUUUUUUUCUGUGUAUUACCCCACGCCCCUAUGAAUUAAGAGAGAGAGAAACGAAGAGAGAGAAAGAAAGAGGGAAAGAGAUGGGAGCGAUCCGACCCGAACCUUCGCGAUCGGACCCGAAUUUAUCUCCAUUUUCCAGCCACCUUACCGACCAAGGAAGGUACCAAUAGAAAGCUUGAGAACUGGCCGUCAUUUCCAUUACGUCAUCGCCGUCGAUUAUUGGCCGGAAAGCCGUUUAUUGAAGCCGCAAAAUUUUGCGGUGAAGCCGCAUUGUUUCGCCGCUGUUCCGCCAGUUUUGGGUGAGGCGACCAGUUGGAUUUUGUUCCCCACAAUCCCCUCUGUCCUUUCCGACCAUCCACUGAGCCGGGAACUGCCCUGUCCCGGCCGGUCAGCCGUUGGAAAGUUCAUGGCUUUGGGAGCUCGAUCAGCCACCGUCGCCGCGCGUCGAUCGUCACCGCCGCCACCAUCGGACUCAGCGUGGUUGGAACUCUCAGGCUAGAGCUUCCCGACCGCAUUUGGUUGGCUUUCGGUCACCUUUGACCAGCAAGGCCAUUUCGGUAAUUUCGUAUCCGAGGGCAAUUUUAUAAUUUCAUACUUUGCGGGUAUUUUAGUAAUUGUAUAAAUUGAGAAUAGGCUGGUAAUUUACGAUUUUGAGAUUAACUUGGUAAAUUAUGAUUUUGGGGGUAUUCUAAUAAUGUUAGAAUUUGAGGGUAUUUUGGUAAUUUUGUUAAAUUUGAGGCGAUUUUAUAAUUUUUGAAUUUGUGCAUAUUUUGGUAGUUUCUGAAUUGGAGAAUAAUUAGUAAUUUAUGAAAUUGAGAAUGAUUUGGUAGUUUAUAAUUUUGGAAUUUUUAGAUUAUUUAUGUGAUUUAUGAGUUUGUGGGCAUUUCGAUGAAGGUUGUGUUAUUUGAACUCAACAAACGGCUCACUAAAUUUAUUUUUGAGAUUAAUUUUUUAUAAUUAAAAUAUUUUUAAAUUAAAUUACAAUUAUGGAUAUUAAAAUAUAAUAUAAAAAAACAGAAUUUUAAUUUUUUCAGCCCAUCUAUACAUCAACAUAAUUUUGUUAAAUCAUAAUCUUAUUUUCAUUAAAUCCUAAUUAACUAGAGGCAUGAAUUACGAGUGGCAAUCUUUUACUUUCAAUUAUCUUCCUACGGUUUGAUGCGCAUUCAAAUGGAGCUCAUCAUCGAUCAUUGAGUCAUGUGCUCUGAUUAUAAUAUUAAUCCUUAAAUUUUCUGAAAACUUUAAUUAUCAUUAAUCAAAAGCAAAUUUGAUUUUAAACAACGGGUUAAAUUUCUUUUCUUUUCAAUUUGGCCAUUUAGUGGAGCCGAAUUAAGCUAAGCCGCAUCACCAUUCACCAAUGGUAGCUCAGCCUCUCCGCUAACAAUAGGCAUGGCUGAUUCUCAAUUAUCUGAUUAUCAUCACAAGCUCAAGUAGCACCUACGCUAACAAAUUCAUUUUGAUUUAAUUACCAUCUCCAUCGGUGUUAAAAAAAAUAACUGAUUUCAUUGAAGAUUUAUAAAUGAAUUUAAUGGAUUUAGCGAGUAAAAAUAUUAUUAUUAUAAAAAUUGAGUUUAGUAAGUGUAUAUUAAAUAUUUAUCCGUACUAAUAUUUUAGCAUCCUAAUGAUUUCAAUUUAUCCAAUAAAUAUACAAUUGAAUCAUCUUAUAAAAUAAGUAUCUAAUCCUACUUUGAAGUAUUAAAAAAAGAAAAAAAAAGUUGAAUUGAGGACAUAUUUUAAAAUAAAAUAAAAUUUAUUAUUUAAUAAAAUUUUAAAAAUGCAAGGGGUAUAUCCAAAAGUUUCCGGGGUCUAGCCCAGGCUUGCUGUCUUAAGCAAAAAUUCGAAUCAAAUCAAAAUUAAAUUCUUUUUCUCCUCUCAUUUUAUAGCUAAAUUUCGAUAAUUGGAAAACUAGACUAACGACACAAAGUCUUGAAAACAAAAUGGUUUGAUGGGUUUCUUUGAUAGCCAAUCGAGAUCAAAAAAGAAAUGGCAAAGGGAGAAUGAAUACAAGUAAAAAAAAAAAAGAAGAAUAAGAAUAAUAAUUUAAGUGACUAGAUUUUUUCUUUCCUUGAAAUAUUGUCAUGUCGAUAAUUUUCUCUGCUAUAAUUUAUUAAUAAAAUUUAAUCGACAUAUGCGUGAAGAAGAAGUGCAGUUUUUCAUGAGAGAUUGAAAAGUGACUAACAUGAAGUUAACUUUUUUCUUCAGUUAGUAAUUUCAGUUAGUUUUAAAAACGUUAUGUUUUUGACAUCUAAAUAAAAUAUAGAUAGGAGGACAGGAGUAGAAACUCUUACAUCAAGUGAGAAUAAGUUUUUAUGUACUAUAUAUAUAUAAGAGAGAUUAUGGUGAUAGGUAAGAUUAAAUUUAUUAACAAAAAUUUAAAAACAUCUUAUUAAUAUAAAAUUAUAAAAAAAUUAAAUACUCACCUUAGAAUUUCUUAAAUACCAUGUUUCAAAAUCUCUUACAAAGUUAAGAAAAAAAAAAUUGAAGUUGAAAAUUUACAAAUCUUUUUCCUAAUUUGAGAAGAUAUAUAAGUUUAGUGAAACUUAAUAAGUCUUUUCCUUGACUAAUUAGGCUUUCCUUUUCCUUAACUAGUUAGGAUAUACAUCCUUAUAUAAAGACGCUUACAUUAAGCUCUCAAAUCCCAACUUCGCAAUAGAGUUAAUAAAUUGGAAGGAAUCGAGUUCUUGGUUUUCAGUUUUUUCUUGAAUCGUCGAUCGAAAAACUUGAUUAGCAAUGAAGCGCAAGGCAUGUGACUCCGAAGAAGGAUGGGACUAUUUGGAGCGGGGAAUCACAAAAUUGAAGAGGAUUUUCGAAGGAUUGCCAGAGCCAGCGUUUAAUUUGGAGGAUUACAUGAUGCUUUACACAACCGUAUACAAUAUUAACUCCCAGCGGACUUAUCCUCUUGACAAAAAUAGCAAACAAUUGUAUAACAAUUACAAGCAAGUACUUGAAGAUUAUAUGCCAUCAAAGGUAUUGCCAUCUUUGAGAGAGAAGCACGAUGAGUAUGAUUUGUUGAGGGAGCUUUUGAAAAGCUGGGCUAAUCAUAAAUUUUUGGUUAAAUGGCUUUCACUCGUCUUCCUUCCUCUUCAAGGUGAAGGCGCUUAUAUUACUCGAAAGAAACUUCCUAAACUUAAUGCGUUUGGACUUUCUUGCUUCCGGGAUCUGGUGUUUGAAGCUAUAAAGGACAAAGUCAAGGAUGCUGUAAUUGCUUUAAUCGAUAGAGAACGCGAGGGAGAAGAGAUUGACAGAACGUUGGUGAAGAAUGUAUUGAAUUUAUUCGUUGAGAUUGACAAGGGGAAGAUGCAUUGUUACGAAAAGGAUUUUGAAGAACAUAUGCUUCAGGAUACGGGGGCUUAUUAUUCUCGCAAGGCAUCAAAUUGGAUUCUUCAGGAUUCGAGUGAAGAUUACAUGCUCAAGGUUGGUGAAUGCUUGAAGAAAGAAAGAGGGAGAGCGUCUCAUUACCUGCAACCAAGCAGCGAGCGGAAAUUGACGGACAUACUAGAACAUGAGUUGUUGGUGGUGCGUGCAAGUCAGCUUCUUGAAGAUGGAGAAUUUGGAUGCAGACAAUUGCCUAGAGGAGAUAAGGUGGAUGAUCAUUCGAUUAUCUGCUGUGACAGCGAGAAAUCGAGGAAUGAAUUAGGCAUUGGAGAAACAUUGGAGUAGGUUCUUAGGUUGUGAUGCACACUACGAAACCCUAAAGUUCCUAGUCAAUUUCAAGUCUAUUAAUUUUAUAAUUUCUAUUCCAUUGGAUUUUUUUUUCCUGAAGCACUAAUUAAUUGGCAUUGCUGCCAUAGAUAUCGUGAUGAGUACGCGUACCGAUGAAUAUGUUUUAUACAUUAAUUAAAAAUUUUAGACAACCCUAUAGAUAAAGAUAGACCUAAGAACUAAUUAUGAACAAAAUAGUAAUGGGUAGAAAUUGUCUUCUUGACAAUUAUUCGUUGCAUUGCGGUUCAUACGAAAGAACAUGAAAAAUUAUCAUUAUUUGUUCUUCUUUUCCUUUCUAAUUUUUUUUUUUAGCGACUUCUUCAAUCCUUUCUCUCGCUAUCCCCAAUUAUUUUGAGAUUUCUCUUCACCAUUCGUUAAUUUUACUUUUCAAUAAAUUUUGAAUGUAUUUCAUGAAUCCAAUUUGGUAAGCCAAUGUGUAUAACAAAAUCUCUCACCCCACCAACCAACCAUUUUUCUUAUUUUUCUUUCUGCAUAUAAAGUUCUUGUCUAAGAAUAGAGAAUUCACUUCCCAGAUCACAAGAAUAUGGGCUUGGAAGUUAUUUACCAGCUAAAACUUUUGGGCCAACAAUCAAGGCCUAUCAAGCAAACAACUUUUGUCCUCCUGCACUUACCUCGUUUCGUUGAUAAAGAAAAUCCCUUAAGUUGAUGAAUUUGUGCUUCGUAAUCCUAAUUGUUUGAAUUCCGUCAAGCAAAGCAACAGAACAGAAAAUGUCCUUUUCACCCUUAGGAUUUAAUAUGAUACAUAUUUCAUCCCUAUAUUUUAAAUAAUAGUGUAAAGUAUUGUUCCGUUAAUUUGCCAUUAGUUUAUUAUAAUUUUUUUGCAAGCUCCAUUUGCAUACUUGGUAGUUUGCAUACAAUUUUUGACAAUUUAAUUUUUAAAAAUUAAAAAUUAAUAUAAAUUUUUUAUUUUUAUUUUUAGGGCUAAAUUAGUAAUUUAAUUAUUUUCUUUUUAUUAAUGUCCAAGCAAAAAAAUUAUUAUAAAAGGACAAUAUUGUUAAAGUAAGACAAAAGAAAUAAAAAGUAACAGUGUGAAUAUCAAUACUUUAAGGGUAAAGAUUUUAAAAAAUAUAAGGAUUAAAUAAAUAUUAAUCUUAAAAUAUAGAGACUAAAUGAUCUUUUAUCUUUUACACAACCGUAUACAAUAUUUGUUCUCAGUCGGCUCGUCCUCUUGAUGAAGAUCCUAAACAGCUGUAUGACAAGUAAAAGCAAGUACUUCAAGAUUAUAUGCCAUGAAAGGCAUUGCCAUACUUGAGAGAGAAGCACGAUGAGUAUCAUUUGUUGAGGGAGCUUUUGAAAAAUUGGGCUAAUCAUGAAUUUUUGGUUAAAUGGCUUUCACGCGUCUUCCUUCCUCUUCAAUUCGGUUAUAUUCCUCGAAGGAAACUUUCUGAACUUAAUGCGAUUGUAAAGGAAAUAAAUCAUGAAAUUACGAAAAUAUUGUUAAUUGUUAUUAUAUCAUUGAGUAAUAAUAAGAAUCUUAAUAUUCAAAUUUUAAUUUGAGUUCUAAGGUUCAUUUUAAAUUAUUUUAUCAGGUUUACAAAUAAUUUUAAAAAUUUAAAAAUUAAUUUUAAUAUUUAAUAAAAAAUUAAAAUUAUUUUUUAUCAAAAUCAGCCCAGAUACUUUUAAAUUUAAAUUUAGAGAAUUAAUUUUAUAUUUUAAUACAAUAUUAAUUGUAUCCUCUACCAUUGUACUUUAGUUAAAAUAAUGUAUUUCGUAUUGCACCCAAUGACCAUGUCAUAAUUGUUGACAUACUUUUUUUUUUAAAAAUAAACCAAACCAUAAUUUUUUUUUCAUAUGUAUUACCCCACACCCCUAUGAAUUAAGAGAGAGAGAAAUGAAGAGAGAGAAAGAAAGAGGGAAAGAGAUGGGAGUGAUCCGACCCGAACCUGCGCGAUCCGACCCGAAUUUAUCUCCAUUUUCCGGCCACCUUACCGACCAAGGAAGGUGCCAGUAGAAAGCUUGAGAACUGACCGUCAUUUCCAUUCCGUCAUUGCCGUCGAUUAUUGGCCGGAAAGCCGCUUAUUGAAGCCGCAUUGUUUCACCGCUAUUUUGCCAGUUUUGGGUGAGGCCACCAGUUGGAUUUUGUUCCCCACAAUCCCCUCUGUCCUUUUCGACCAUCCACUGAACCGGGAACUGCCCUUUCCCGGCCGGUCAGCCGUUGGAAAGUUCAUGGCUUUGGGAGCUCGAUCAGCCACCGUCGCCGCGCGUCGAUCGUCACCGCCGCUACCAUCGGACUCAGCGUGGUUGGAACUCUCAGGCUAGAGCUUCCCGACCGCCUUUGGUUGACUUUGGGUCACCGUUGACCAGCAAGGCCAUUUCGGUAAUUUCGUAUUCGAGGGCAAUUUUGUAAUUUCACACUUUGCGGGUAUUUUAGUAAUUGUAUAAAUUGAGAAUAGGCUGGUAAUUUACUAUUUUGAGGUUAACUUGGUAAAUUAUGAUUUUGGGGGUAUUCUAAUAAUGUUAGAAUUUGAGGGUAUUUUGGUAAUUUUGUUAAAUUUGAAGGCGAUUUUAUAAUUUUUGAAUUUGUGCAUAUUUUGGUAAUUUCUGAAUUGGAGAAUAAUUAGUAAUUUAUGAAAUUGAGAAUGAUUUGGUAGUUUAUAAUUUUGGAAUUUUUAGAUUAUUUAUGUGAUUUAUGAGUUUGAGGGCAUUUCGAUGAAGGUGGGGCUAUUUGAACUCAACAAACGGCUCAAUAAAUCUAUUUUUGAGAUUAAUUUUUAUGAUUAAAAUAUUUUUAAAUUAAAUUACAAUUAUGAAUAUUAAAAUAUGAUAAAAAAACAGAAUUUUUAUUUUUUCAGCCCAUCUAUACAUUCAACAUAAUUUUAUUAAAUCAUAAGUUUAUUUUCAUUAAAUCCUAAUUAACUAGAGGCAUGAAUUACGAGUGGCAAUCUUUUACUUUCAAUUAUCUUCCUACGGUUUGAUGCGCAUUCAAAUGGAGCUCAUCAUCGAUCAGUGAGUCAUGUGCUCUGAUUAUAAUAUUAAUCCUUAAAAUUUCUGAUCAUUGAGUCAUGUGCUCUUAUUAUAAUAUUAAUCCUUAAAUUUUCUAAAAACUUUAUGUUAAAGUCUGAGCUUUAAACUGAUUUUCAGGAGGUCAACCGUCAUGUCGGUUUGUGGUUAUUUUGGUAUACAACAUGUCAGCUGUAAAGCAUACAAGUCUGUAUGACAGACUUGUAUCGUCAACCAAAAGCUUUUAGUAAAGCACGCACAUUUCACGUGCUUUCACUUACUCUGUACGACAUUGAAGAUUGUCGUUUUGGAGAAGAGUUCAACACGUGUCCUGAAGGCUGUUAAAUUCAGUUACUACAGGCGGAAAAAUUCUGAGUUCGUUAGCUAACAAACCCAGAUUACAGCUGGUUGACAGGGGGCCUUUGUAAUGGGCUUCAAGCUAGUAUAAAUAGUCUAAGGGACUGGGAAAUCAGGGUGUGUGUUGUUUGUAGCUUCAUCUCUAAACUUGUAACUUGUUCAUGGUUAUUGAAUCAAAGCUGUUGCUCUGUUCUUCAGUGGAUAUAGGCUGCCUCCAGCCGAACCACUUACAUUUGUUGUUCUUUGCAUACUGUUUCUGGGUGAUUCUUUUGUAUGAAUUUGAUUAAUUUAGAUCUUGAUUAGAGAGUUCAGC
RNAcentral lists this long non-coding RNA (13005 nucleotides) under Citrus maxima (pomelo). RNAcentral describes it as "long non-coding RNA (CMAX_LNC003662)". Lineage: Eukaryota; Viridiplantae; Streptophyta; Magnoliopsida; Sapindales; Rutaceae. The record is from RNAcentral.